This is a long non-coding RNA of Mauremys reevesii (Reeves's turtle), 2149 nucleotides long. RefSeq lists it as uncharacterized. The transcript has 3 exons. NCBI's taxonomy places the organism in Eukaryota, Metazoa, Chordata, Testudines, Geoemydidae. The record is from RefSeq and is a predicted model, not a curated record.
CAAGCAGGACACAAGACGCAUCCAUUAAGCCAGAAAUCUGGCAACAGCAACCAACAGAAAGAUCUAAAAAGGAAUAAAUAUUGAAACAGAAACAAUCUUUUAUACUGUUAAUGCCAGGUUCCGGGAAACUGGGAUCACCAAAUAAAAGCUGAGGGAUGAAACAAACAAACAAAAAAGCAUUGCAACCAGGAGCAGCUCCUUAAAUAUCACAGAUCUCUAGGUUGUUGGUCCUUUGUUAAGAAACUGAAUACAUGCCACUUUACAUCUGAGCGGCUAGGCAGGCAGCUCCCCCGGUACACAUGGCAGCACUGCUCUGCAGAUCAGCCCACAAUGAGAGUGCAAACAUGGAAUAACUGACACUCUUUCACAGGGCACUGUCUCAGCCCACCCUUAUAACUACCAACGUACAAUGAGGCAGAGGCUGGGCUCCUUAGUCCAUUUUUCAACUUCCAAUUGCAAGGUACUAGCAGUGUGCACGAAGUACCAAUUAGAAAGUGUUUAUUUUGAUUUUGAAUGCAGAAUCUAAAAGGAUGGGAAGGGAAGUAAUUCUGAUCCAGAAAUUCUCUUAUGAGAGGAGACAGACAGCAAGUGGACGUAUAAAUUGCUGAGGAUGGUUUCAGAUCAAUCUGUGAUUGACUGCCAACAACAUGGAGUUGAGGGGAGAUAAACAGCUGUAGUCAAAGACAGGUUAAAGCCACCUAGUAGGAUAUUUUGCUAGCAACGAUGUAGAACCAGAAGCAGCUGCGAAGUUAAACUUUCUGGCAAGCCUUUAGAUAAGAAAAAUAUGGAGGAAAGAAAACAGAAUGAACAUCAACAGGGAACCACAGUGCCUGUUAGAGUCACAGCAAAUAAGAAGUAAGAAGUCACUGUAGGAAAUCGUUUACAGCACUAACAGAGAACAACGAGUGGACCUAAAACAAAAAAAUCAUUUAUUUUAAUCUUCCAUUAAUCUGAAAUCUAAGUGCACAUUGUGUAAAAAAUUAAGUGGAAAGAGUAGGAUCAGUAUAAGGUAACAAGUACACUUAAUUGGCAUAGGAGCCAAAAAAAAAAAAAAAGCAGCAGCAGCUGAGGAGGAUGUGGAAUUCCCAACACAAUCGGUAUAAGAAAUACUGGCCAUGGUUGGAUUUUGUAAAUGAAAAAAUUCCAGGCCUCGUACUGUAACAAAAAGCUGUCAGAGCAUAUGGAGCACAUGGAAAAGCAGAGUGAGGGAAGCUCAAGAUUCUUUUUCUUUGAAAGUUAUCUCUGAACCAAACUGCAAACUAAGUGUUUGCUUGAGAAUAAUCAGGAAGGACCAGAUUUUGUCAUUCUUACCCACAUUGUGUAGUACCCUACUCUGCAAGUAGUCCCACUGAGACCAAUGUGACCAUUCGUGGAGUAAGGCAAAGAAGAAAGGGCUACUAAAGCCAAGGAGCAGGGAAGAGGACCAAGGAGUAACUGAAAAAUUGGAGGGAACAUCACUGAAGGAUGGCAGUGUGGCAAAGCUUCACAUAGUGCCAGCAUUAGAGUGGAGUUGUUUGGUUAUCUAGGGUCCUCUUCAACCUCCUCUUCCCUGGCUGAAUGCAACCCCUAACUUCAGCCAAGGGCAGCAAUUUAACUGGUGAUUUGCCUCUACUUCACAAUCAACAUAGAACAGGCAGAAGUCAUCGUCUGGCAUGAAAAGUUCUGGGUGGCUUGCAGUCAUCCAUAGAGAAAAGACCAGCCAGAAAAGUAAAUGAUCAUGUGGGGCUAUACAAUUCUGGGAGUCUGUCAUUCAGUUGGAGACAUUAGGAUGUUUGGGUCUCUCUAAGCAUACUCAGGGUUAGUAUAAAAAUACUUAUUGUAUGAUGCAGAAAACUGAAGUUGUGAUGGAGAAGACAGUAACUUGUUAGCAAUAUAAAAUCUUAGAGGAGAAGGUGGAGAAUACAAUUAAGAAUGCAAAAGUUUUUAUUUACAGUGGAUGGACAACGUAGAGAUGUGCUCUCAUGUGGCACCAACUGCAAAUAGUCUAUAUCUAGCCAUUAGAACAUGGCAACUUAGGUGUAAAUGACCUGAAUUUGGCCCAUAAGAUAAGACCACAGUUACAGAAACAGAGAAAUUGAGAAUAAUUAAAGGUUUUUAAUUAAAUUGAGCAUUUGAAGGGAAAAGACAAAAAGCAAAAAGAUAUGAUGUU